AGUUUAGUCUCGCGCAUGAGCGCGACACUCGUUCUCUUUCCUUUCUAAUGACAACAGACUUGUCCGGUUGGAAUAUUAUUUAAGACUCAUGAUAAAAACAUCCUAAAGAUUGAUCAUAUACAUUGUUUGACAUGUUUCUACUAACUUUAAAUGGAACUUUUUUGACUCGGUCUGGACUUUGUGCUCGCGCUUUGUGCAUUUGGAUAACUAGACUAAACGCGCAAACAAAAAGGUGGUAUUUGGACAUAAAGAUGAACUUUGUCGAACAAAACAAACAUUUAUUGUCUAACAUGGAGACCUGGGAGUGCCAUCAGAUGAAGAUCAACGCAGGGAAGAUCAGACUCACCUGAACCCAGCUGUGUGUCCAUGAAGAGUGACCAGUCUAUGAUACUGUCUAUAGAAUUCAGACAGAAAGCCUCCCCUACAAAACAAGGAUCAGACUCACCUGUACACAGCUGUGUGUCCAUGAAGAGUGACCAGUCUAUGAAGCUGCCUAUAGAAUUCAGACAGGCAGUCCUCCAGACAAAACAAGGAUGCUCGAAGACCACAUGAUCUAUUUUGUGAAGAAAGAGCUGAAGAGGUUAAAAAUGUUUCUGAGUCCUGAUCUUCCAGAAGGCUUUGAGAGUCAGAGGGAGGAUGCAGAAAUGGUGGGACGCUGAAGAUGAGAAGCAGGAGAGCAUUUGCCAGAGAGGGGGCUCAGCAGAUCACACUGCAUUUCCUGAGGAACAUGAACCAGAAGGAGCCGGCUGACAUAAUGGAGAAAGAUGUGCUUGCUGUGUUCCAACCUAAAUUCAAAUCCAACCUGGAAAGAAAGUUUCAGUGUAUGUUCAAGCGAAUAGCUGAGCAAAAAUAAAUAAACACAUUGCUCAUCAGGAUCUACACAAUGCUCUACAUCACAGAAGGUAGAAGCGGAGAGGUCAAUAAUGAACAUGAGAUUGCUCCUGUGAUGAUCCAUGGCACGAAGCCUCCAGUGAUGAUCCAU
Molecule: long non-coding RNA, 982 nt
Organism: Salvelinus namaycush (lake trout)
Lineage: Eukaryota; Metazoa; Chordata; Actinopteri; Salmoniformes; Salmonidae
Exons: 6
Source: RefSeq, a predicted model, not a curated record